UUCGAUUCUUCCCAAAUCUCCAAAACCCCACCCCUUCGACUCUCGCCCGCGUCGCUGCCCGCCGCCGUACUUCGGUGCCUCGUUCUUCUCGUCUAAAGACUACCUCCGCCGGCCUCCUCUGCCAGGUGCUUCAUCCUGACAGGCCGUCGCCUUGCCCUCGGUGGGAUUAUGAGCGACCACGAGUCGAGAAGCGGCGGCGAGGAAUCCCUUGCCCUGCCCCUAACGAGGGACUCUCCUCAGCUCGUGGCCUUGUUGAAAGAGAUGAAGGAUGGGUUGGAUGUCGUGAGGAGCAAACUGGACGUCCUCACAUAGAAGGCGUGCAUACAGUAAUAUUCAUGUAUGCACGCACACUGCGCGUGCUUACUUGAUCUUUGUUUUUCCCGACUCCCACAAAAUAGUGCCCGAUGCUUCUCUUCCGACGCUCCUGUCGACGGCCACCGAGGAUGAGAGAUCCCGACGGUGGCCACUGUCGAGACGAAGACGACCAAGCACGAUCUCCAGCUCAGGUAAGGGCGACUCCCCGACCGAUGUCGCGUUCGCCAUCUCUCUCUCGUUGUCUUGACUCUCGAGCGCCCACUUCUUGAUCGUUACCAUUACCUGGGAAUUAGGGUAUUGGGAUGAUGAUCAACUAGUUCUACUAGGUCUGAUGAUGUUCUGUGGUUUCUUUCGACGCUACCUGUCUGUCUGCGUGCAUUGCCAAGUUAAUCGAGAAGGAGACGUCUCGGUAGACAAAACAUUUGACAUUGUUGAUGUCUAUUUAUUGUUGAAAAGGUGUUCCUCUGGUUUUUAUUGCAAAUCAGCAGAAAUUUGGUUUCCUGAAUCCCAAAUCGCAGAUAUAUACCUGUUGAAUAGAAAGAACGGCAAGAAAAGGGUCUGUUGUAGGUUAAUGAGUAAGGGGAAACAUGAACCGGCAGCAGCAUACUUAUGAGAGAGACAGGAGAGAACAAAAAGCAGAAUAGAGAGAGAAAAAGUAGAUCUUCGGCCACCACAACGCACAUCACAUGGAGGAAAAAACUUAGUUUGACUAAUUCAUUCAUCCCCAAUGACUUAAUAACUUCCUCCAAUCCAAUCUGUAUUCACAAUAGGGUUCUUGAUCCAAUCCUAAACCCAGAAAGAAGAAUACAAAUCACUUCAAACCCCUAAAAUCAUGUUUAUUAGAAGUAAACCUUGAUGAUUAAUGUUCCUGCCAUUGACAACGAUGAUCUUGAUUCACUUUUGUAGAUAUUGUUCUUACCUUAAUGAGAAUUCUAGCUUAUCAAUGGGUUUCUAUGGUAUCUUUCUAGAGUUCUGUAACCUCAACCUUGGGUGAUACAGCAUGAAGACACACUUUGGUUCCACUGAGAAUUGUAUAUAUAUAUUUUUCUCUAGCCGUCGUUUGCUACUCUACUGAUUUUUCUUCAAACUAAAUAUUGAAUUAUGAACCAACAAUCAAACUAGGAACUACUGUUAAUUUGAUGGUCCCUAGUGUAUAAUUAACUACCUGAUUAUCUUAAUAACCAUUAUAUUUGAUAUGACUGACGUAUAAGAAUAGAGGUGCGUGGAUUCACUAUAAUGCUGGAUUAUAUAUUAUGAUAGUGUUUAUGCAUAUUCUUUCGGUUGAUAAAUUGGCUGUGUCCUUGUCAUGGUUCACCUACCUGUGGAUUUCAGAAUAUAGGUUCCUUUUCAAUGAAAUAUUAUUGAUGCCAUUCUUUCUUUGUUGGCACCACCAACCGCUGAUCAGUUGAUUUGUUACACUAGGCAUGUUAAGUUUUGUAGCCUUCUAAGCAAUCUUUCUUGCUAUCAUAAGACUGCAACAAAAGAAGUUGUGAGGACAAAAAUUGCCAGAUAAUUCAUAAUAUAUCAAGAUCUUGAUAAUAUGAUUUUGCAAUCGUUAGUGGAACAUGUUCUUUGAAGAAUAAGUUGCAUUUUGCAAUUUUUCUGUUGGCUUCUACAUCUUACUUUGAGUCGCUCAUUGGUUUGCUCCUUACUAUAACAGACUUCCUGAAAGUUUUAAUGGGUGCAUCAGUGGUCCUCUAUAUAAUUUCUUCUCUAAUGCAUUAGAUACAUGUGAUUUGUGCUUCAUAGAGCAGAGUGGCUCAAGUGGCUUCUUGUUGUAAGUUCAUCUCCUAUGGUGGACGGUGGACCAAAUGAGGAUAUUUCACGACAAGCCUAUCGCGGUUGGCAUGCUAAGCGAGUUGGGAUUCAAUGGACCAGCAUUAUCAGAGGAUCUAAUCAUUGAAGUCUGCAGAUGUGGAGGGGCAGAGCUCUAUCCAUUUGCAAACAAUUUGUCCUAUCGAACAGAACAGUCAUUCAAUGGAAUCGAUCAGAUGUCACAGGUAUCGGUCUUACAGUUGCUAGCUUCAAGGAAAGGUGGGAUUCUUCUCAUGAACACAGAUGACAGAGUAUGAAGAUCAUAUCAACCUUAUAGGUUAGCUCGUCGCUCACAUUCAGUUAUCUGGACAGUUAGAGCAUCCGAGCGUGACUCCACUAGUUAUCGUUCGCUAAGUGCGACCAUUGUGCAUGUCAUAUAAUAUGACGGUGUGAUUGAGAGAUGGGAGUUCGUAUCUGUGCUGGUGCAUCAAUUGAUAAAGGGUCAGGAUUAGUAAGACGGGGAGCAUCAUUUGUCAGGCUUAUAUAAAUUUAUGGUCGACUGCUACUCUGUGAAACUGGCCAUGAUAGAAAUAGUAUGGUAGCAACGGCAUCACCAGGCAUCACCGCUGUCACAAACUUGUUGUGAGUAGCUUACUGGAGGUCGCAGGCUUUUGAGUCAUUAGGUAUCUCAUGAUCAUGUUUUUGUGAUGCACGAGUAUUGUUCUAUUUCUUUAACUUUGAUGGAUGAGGCCAUAUGCAGAUAAGUUUUCACAUACUGUAUGUAGCAGGGGAGCCACUGCUCGUCGACUAUCUAUUAUGAUAUAUCAUGUCAUGGACUCGGUUUGGUAGACCGACAGAUCCAAAGGGAAACGCUCGACUACUUGUGUCUCUACCUUCCUAUCCUUCCUACUUGCUGUCUAAGAUAUCGAGCCAUGUAAGCCAAGCUUUCAAAUCAUGCUAUGCAACUCAUGUAUGACUGCAGCAAUCUGUGUUCGGGAUUUAAUGGUUUAAACAUAUCUAACAUUUUUGUAUCAUGUAUGUAUA
This is a long non-coding RNA of Musa acuminata AAA Group (dessert banana), 3114 nucleotides long. RefSeq lists it as uncharacterized. The record is from RefSeq and is a predicted model, not a curated record. The transcript has 6 exons. NCBI's taxonomy places the organism in Eukaryota, Viridiplantae, Streptophyta, Magnoliopsida, Zingiberales, Musaceae.